Molecule: ribosomal RNA, 371 nt
Filed under: uncultured bacterium
Lineage: Bacteria
Description: bacterial SSU rRNA
Rfam family: Bacterial small subunit ribosomal RNA
Source: RNAcentral
GUAGGUGACAAGCGUUGUCCGGAUUUACUGGGCGUAAAGAGCGCGCAGGCGGUCGAUCAAGUCGAGUGUGAAAGCCCCCGGCUCAACUGGGGAGGGUCAUUCGAUACUGAUCGACUCGAAGGCAGGAGAGGGAAGUGGAAUUCCCGGUGUAGUGGUGAAAUGCGUAGAUAUCGGGAGGAACACCAGUGGCGAAGGCGACUUUCUGGCCUGUUCUUGACGCUGAGGCGCGAAAGCUAGGGGAGCAAACGGGAUUAGAUACCCCGGUAGUCCUAGCCGUAAACGAUGGACACUAGGUGUUGGUGGUAUCAACCCCGCCAGUGCCGUAGCUAACGCAUUAAGUGUCCCGCCUGGGGAGUACGGCCGCAAGGCUA